RNAcentral lists this ribosomal RNA (467 nucleotides) under uncultured bacterium. RNAcentral describes it as "partial 16S ribosomal RNA". It matches the Rfam family "Bacterial small subunit ribosomal RNA", at positions 28 to 507 of the family's 1533-position model. The record is from RNAcentral.
GAUGAACGCUGGCGGCGUGCUUAACACAUGCAAGUCGAACGGAAAGGCCCAAGCUUUCUUGGGUACUCGAGUGGCGAACGGGUGAGUAACACGUGGGUGAUCUGCCCUGCACUUCGGGAUAAGCCUGGGAAACUGGGUCUAAUACCGGAUAGGACCACAUUUUGGAUGGUGUGGUGGAAAGUUUUUCGGUGUGGGAUGAGCUCGCGGCCUAUCAGCUUGUUGGUGGGGUAAUGGCCUACCAAGGCGUCGACGGGUAGCCGGCCUGAGAGGGUGUACGGCCGCAUUGGGCCUGUGCUGCGGCCCAGACUCCUACGGGUGGCAGCAGUGGGGAAUAUUGCACGGUGCGCGCAAGCCUGAUGCAGCGACGCCUCGUGGGCGAUGACGGCCUUCGGGUUGUAAGCUCCUUUCGCUAGGGACGAAGCGUUUUUGUGACGGUACCUGGAGAAGAAGCACCGGCUAACUACGUG